This 273-nucleotide ribosomal RNA is filed under the name Triticum aestivum (bread wheat). RNAcentral describes it as "partial small subunit ribosomal RNA". The record is from RNAcentral. Lineage: Eukaryota; Viridiplantae; Streptophyta; Magnoliopsida; Poales; Poaceae.
AUUGCGGAUGACAGUGUAUGUGAAAUAUGCGGAAGGGAUGAGGAAGACGAGCACCAUGCCAUUGUCGCAUGCACCAGAAGUUUGGCUUUACGCCACUCUAUGAGAGCCUUUUGGGAAAUCCCUAGAGAAUCUGAGUUCAAAAAUACAGGGGUAGACUGGCUGCAACUGCUGCUGAUCGCCCAACCUGAGGAGGUCAGAACCAAAGUAAUGUUGAUUUUGUGGCAAGCCUGGAGUUUAAGGAACAAUGCCAUACAUGGGGAUGGGAAAGAUACU